ACCAAAAUCAUUUAACGACAAUAUUCAUCUCUUAAUUAUAGGGCUUAUUGGAUUUAAAGACGGGUCAUCAAAGAUUUCCUAAACUGAAGCAAAAUAUACUGAAUAUUCAAAUAUCUAUAUGUUACCAAAUUAUAAACAAAUAAGUUUGUCAAACAAUUUAAUAUUUUAUAUACGAAAUCAAUUAAAUCUUAAUCACAUAAAAUUUAG
This 207-nucleotide small RNA is filed under the name Arabidopsis thaliana (thale cress). Its description in RNAcentral is "ATSL161340". The record is from RNAcentral. Lineage: Eukaryota; Viridiplantae; Streptophyta; Magnoliopsida; Brassicales; Brassicaceae.